RNA transcript from Hippopotamus amphibius kiboko, 3505 nucleotides. It is a transcript of the gene named zona pellucida binding protein 2, with no coding region annotated. The record is from RefSeq and is a predicted model, not a curated record. The transcript is spliced from 9 exons. NCBI's taxonomy places the organism in Eukaryota, Metazoa, Chordata, Mammalia, Artiodactyla, Hippopotamidae.
CGGGGCCCCGGAUCACGCAAGCGCUCUGCUGAGCGUCGGCUCUCGCCGUAGCGACGGUCGGGUAGGGGAGGUGACCCACGGCGGUUUGCUCCGCUUGGUGGAGGAGAGAUGGGGAGGCGUCGCGCCGGGGCUGAGGUAGGCAGGAGCCCGCCCCUCGACGCCUAACCCUCCCGCGACGCUAGCCCCUGAGCCGUGAUGCGAGCGUGGGUCCUGCUCUCCGCGGUGCUCUGGUACCUCACAGGAGUUGGAUGGCAGCGUAAUUCCGAACGCACUGAGAAAGGCUUCAUUUAUGGCAAGCCGGGACACCCAGUGAAAAUAUAUGUAAAAUUACACCACAAUAGCCCAAUCCUUGUCUGUAUGGAUUUUAAACGCGCUGAGAAAGAAACAGUGGACCCAACCUACUUAUGGGUUGGGCCUAAUGAAAAGCCAUUAACAGGAAAUAAUAGAAUAAAUAUCACUGAAACAGGAAAGCUGAUGGUGAAAGACUUUCUGGAGCCUUUGUCUGGACUUUACACAUGCACUCUUUCUUAUAAGACUGUCAAAGCAGAAACCCAAGAAGAAAAGGUAGUAAAGCAGAGAUAUGACUUUAUGAUCUUUGCUUAUCGGGAACCUGACUAUUCAUAUCAGAUGGCUGUACGUUUUACCACAAAAUCUUGUGUAGGAAAGUAUAAUGAUAUGCUUUUUAGAGUGCUGAAGAAAAUCUUGGAUAAUUUAAUUUCUGAUUUGUCAUGCCAUAUCAUAGAGCCAUCAUAUAAAUGCCAUUUUGUUAAAGUCCCAAAACAUGGCCUCAUUCCUGAGCUAUUUAUAGCCUUUCAAGUUAAUCCUUUUGCGCCAGGGUGGAAAGGUGCUUGCAAUGAGUCUGUUGACUGUGAAGAUACCACUAAUCAUAAUAUCCUCCAGGCAAGAAAUCGAAUAGAAGAAUUUUUCCGGAGCCAAGCAUAUAUUUUCAACCACGACUUUAGUAAAACUCUACCAGCGAUGCAUUUUGUGGACCACAGUUUUCAAAUAUGGCUUGUGGUCCUGGGACUUUUAGUCCUGAUGUUGAUGUUACAUGUCAAACCUGCAUUUCCAUCCAAAUCUACGGCGCUAAAUCUUGCCCAUAAAACUUCAAACAAAAAUCACAACCUGAAGACUAGAGGUGAAAGCAUUGUUACUUGCUUAUGGAGGUGGGGAACAUAAGAUGAUUUGUUCACAUCUCUGGGAGUGUCAUGGAUAGUUCCAUUAACUAAGAUCAGUAAGACCAAAGCAUUGGAAAACAUACAUUUUAGAAACCCUGGAAAGAUAGUCAACAUGGCGUUUCUAAGAAGGCCUUUAAUGUCUCCAGUGUGCAAAGGAAAGUGUAACACAUUGCUAUCUAGUAUCAGAAUCUGGAAAAAAAGAGACAGCAGCAAAGAUGUUUGGAAAACAAAGAAGAUAAGGAAACAGGAAACAAAGAGAAAAGAAAGGGGCUUUAACCACCAACCAUUGACUAGAAAAGCUUGCAUAUAACUCAGAGGGUGGAGGAAGCACACCUCAGUCCAAGUGAGCUUGAAGUCCUUUUCUUGCAGAUGUAGGUCACAAAGCUUGGGCUGGAGAGCUCUAAUUUAGACUCCUGGACCCUACCCUUCCUGUGGAAGUUUUCUGGAAUGUGGCUCACACAGAAGGAAGUCAACCAAAUUUUUAAAUGCAGAGGAAAGACUAAAUUGAGGAUGGAGAUAUGUGCGUGUGCCCCCCUCUUCUUUCUUAUGGCCCAGCCGUUACAGUCUAACAUCCAACGGUUUUCAAAGCAUCUUGCAAAAUAUGUCUCCCCUGAGUGACAGAAAGCAAGUGAGGAAGACAUCUGCAGUCUACAGUGGAAAGACCCUGGCUUUCUGAUUCCAGUCCUGACUGUCAUUUUCUAUCUUUGGCAAAGACUGUCCUCUCAUCCCUGCUAUGGGGAAACUAAGUCCAGGUUCAGCCUCUCUUAAAAUGUAACUUCAUAUAAUCAUAUAAUCUGUAUGAAAGAACUAUGUAAAAACCAUUUUUUAAAAAAACUGUAUAAAACACCAACAAUUUUAAGGCUCUGUAUUAGCUUGUGGGGCCUGCGAUAAAUAAGGAAGUGAUUCUACACAGCUGGGAGCCCAUAGCUUUCACCGUAACUUGCAUGCAUUCAGUCAGUAAGCUUUUAUUUACUAUAGGUACUAUGCUCAGUAGUCUCGGUCUCUUCACCAGGGUUGGCACAGACUAGUGUCUGAGACAAAUAAAGUACUCCAAUUAAGUGCCAUUGUGACCUAGAUAGCAUCUUAGGAUCCUCUGUUCCUUGGAUAUUGGUGGUAGAUUUGAGGUAAGAUUUCAGAAGGCAGACAGAGGAAGGGUUACACUGCCUCAACACACAAAAAAAGCUUAAAAUGAAACAGUAAGCAUCACCAUUCUCUCUCUCUCUUUUUUUUUUUGCCACUUUUAUUGUGAAAUAUAACAUGCAUACAGAAAAGUGCAUUGAACACUAAUUUAACAGUUUAACAAAUUAUCAAAUAAACAUCUGAGCUACCCACCACCCAGGUGAAGAAAUAAAAUAUUUCUAGUAUUCUAGAAAUCCACUCCUUUCGCAUGUGCCUGUCCCUGAUCAUAUCAUCCCUCCUCCAAAGAGGAUGAAUCAUAAUCAUUAUUUCUUCCCUUUUCUAGGAGUUUUACCACCAAAGUUGGAUCCCUAAGCCAUGUAGUUUCUCUGGUUUUAAACAUUAUGAUAGAGACACAGAUGUAGAGAACAAACAUAUGGACACCAAGUGGGCAGCGCGGGGAGGGUUGGGGGGGAAUGAAUUGGGAGAUUGGGACACCAAAUUGUACACUCUAAAUAUAUGCAGUUUAUUGUAAAAAAUAAAAAAUUGGAAAAAAAACAUUAUGGAGCGAAUCAUAAUGAAUAUAUUCUUCUACUCCUUGAUUCUUUCUAAAGCUUGUCACGUAGAAUUAGUUCAUUUAUACCCGCUGCUGUAUAGUAUUCCAUUAUUUGAAUAUACCACAGUUUUUUUUAUCCAUUCUGUUGUUGGGGAACACUCAAGUUGCUUUUGGUUUUUGACUGUUAUGACAUGCUACUAAGUAAAAUUCUUUUAACUAUAUCCCAUGUGAUGCAUAUGUGCACAAGUUUCCCUAGAGUGUAUACCUAGCAAGUCGAAUUUUGGGGUUAUAGCGUAGGUCAGGCUUCCAUUUGUAAUGACAAACUGUUAUUCAUAGUGAUUGUAUUAAUUUAUCUUCCGAGCAGUAAGCAAUGUAACAAUGAAAGUUCUCAUUGUUUCAGAUACUUAACAACAUUUGGUAUUGUCAGACUUAAACUUUUGCCUUACUGGAGAGUGAGUAAUGGUAUCUCCUGGAGGUUUUAAUUUGUGUUUUCCUGAUUACUAAUCAGGUUAAUCAUCAUUUCAUAUGUUUGUUAGCUAUUAGGAUUUUCUUUUUCCCAAAGUUCUGUAGAAGACUUGUAUCUAUUUUUGUAUUGAGUCAUCUUUAUUUUUUAUUGAUUUGUACAAGCUCUCUAUACUGGAUAUUAUUGCUUACA